UGUCUUUUGGAUAUAUAAUUCCACAUGCAUUCGAGUUACUUGUGAUGGCCAAAACAGAUAAUAAAAAAAACAAUCUUGGUCAUUGGUGUCCCAAAAUGGCUGAAAACAAUAUAGUCAUUCGAUUUUCAGAAAUUAAAACCGAACAACUUUUAUAAGGAAAAGCCAAACAAACAACAUGCAAAACAAAAAGCAGAACCCAAAUUAAUAGCUAGAACUGGAGGAAAUUAGACAGACCAACGAACAAGCUCACUGCCCAAACUCUUCACUCCAAUGCAAGCAAAUAAACAUCUAGGCCAGCAAUAUAUAUCCCCAAAAUUCAACCAACAUAUAUCCCCUUCCUUCAAGAGUAUGUAGUCAAUAACUUAAAUCGUUCUGGAAUCUUUUGCAAUCUUGGACAGUGGUCUAUCUUUAGAUUCUUGAGCUUCAUCAUUGCGUUGCCCCUUCUUCCACUAUCAAUUCCUCCAAAGACAAUAAAGAUUGUAAAUGUAGAAUGUGCAACUGGGGAAACCCUUCCGAGGAGGAGCAAACCAGUUUUGUCCACGUGUAUGAAUCGGAUCCCAAGAGAAGCAUCUUUAGGUUUGGCAACCUCCCAAGCCUAACUAUUGAAUCUUCCUCGAGAUAGGAAGACCACAGAGUUAGCUUGACGAGGUUUGGUGGGAAUUGGAGUGGAUCAGGUAGCUUCUUUAUUUUCCCAUCCAAACUGGGCUUGUGGAGAUGCUCCCCUUUUAAAUUCUUUGAAAUAGAUCUCUCUCCUUUUUGUUCCAGGUUGCAGAUUUUGGCCUUGCACAUGCUUCGAAAGAUGGUUCUAUUUGCUUUGAAGUGGUAAACACGGAUAUCCGGGGCACUCCAGGUUAUAUGGAUCCUGAGUAUGUGGUUACCCAAGAGCUGACGGAGAAAAGUGAUGUGUACAGCUAUGGUGUGCUACUGUUGGAGAUAGUGACUGCGAGACGUGCAAUACAAGACAACAGGAAUUUGGUAGAAUGGUCGCAAAAAUACAUGGCAUCAGAGUUAAGGCUA
Prunus avium (sweet cherry) is the source of this 1017-nucleotide non-coding RNA. The record is from RefSeq and is a predicted model, not a curated record. NCBI's taxonomy places the organism in Eukaryota, Viridiplantae, Streptophyta, Magnoliopsida, Rosales, Rosaceae.